Non-coding RNA from Rattus norvegicus (Norway rat), 69 nucleotides. Lineage: Eukaryota; Metazoa; Chordata; Mammalia; Rodentia; Muridae. The record is from Rfam.
GGGGAUUUGGCUCAGCGGUAGAGCGCUUGCCUAGCAAGCGCAAGGCCCUGGGUUCGGUCCCCAGCUCCA